Molecule: ribosomal RNA, 354 nt
Filed under: uncultured marine group I thaumarchaeote
Lineage: Archaea; Thermoproteati; Nitrososphaerota
Description: bacterial SSU rRNA
Rfam family: Archaeal small subunit ribosomal RNA
Source: RNAcentral
UUCUGGUUGAUCCUGCCGGACCUGACUGCUAUCGGAUUGAUACUAAGCCAUGCGAGUCUUUGCAGUAAUGCAAGGCAUACGGCUCAGUAACACGUAGUCAACUUACCCUAUGGACGAGGAUAAUCUCGGGAAACUGAGCAUAAUACUCGAUAGAUCAUAAUGCCUGGAAUGGUUUAUGGUUGAAAUGAUUCGUCGCCAUAGGAUAGGACCGCGGCCUAUCAGCUUGUUGGUGAGGUAAUGGCCCACCAAGGCGAUUACAGGUACGGGCUCUGAGAGGAGAAGCCCGGAGAUGGGUACUGAGACAAGGACCCAGGCCCUAUGGGGCGCAGCAGGCGAGAAAACUUUGCAAUGUGC